RNAcentral lists this ribosomal RNA (406 nucleotides) under uncultured bacterium. Its description in RNAcentral is "partial 16S ribosomal RNA". It matches the Rfam family "Bacterial small subunit ribosomal RNA", at positions 29 to 526 of the family's 1533-position model. The record is from RNAcentral.
AUUGAACGCUGGCGGCAGGCCUAACACAUGCAAGUCGAACGAGUGGCGGACGGGUGAGUAAUGUCUGGGAAACUGCCCGAUGGAGGGGGAUAACUACUGGAAACGGUAGCUAAUACCGCAUACCAUCGGAUGUGCCCAGAUGGGAUUAGCUAGUAGGUGGGGUAACGGCUCACCUAGGCGACGAUCCCUAGCUGGUCUGAGAGGAUGACCAGAAACACUGGAACUGAGACACGGUCCAGACUCCUACGGGAGGCAGCAGUGGGGAAUAUUGCACAAUGGGCGCAAGCCUGAUGAAGCAAUGCCGCGUGAGUGAAGAAGGCCUGCGGGUUGUAAAGUACUGUCAGCGGGGAGGCGUUACUCGCAGAAGAAGCACCGGCUAACUCCGUGCCAGCAGCCGCGGUAAUAC